Molecule: ribosomal RNA, 253 nt
Filed under: uncultured bacterium
Lineage: Bacteria
Description: partial 16S ribosomal RNA
Rfam family: Bacterial small subunit ribosomal RNA
Source: RNAcentral
UACGUAGGGGGCAAGCGUUGUCCGGAUUUAUUGGGCGUAAAGAGCGUGUAGGCGGCUUGACAGGUCUGCUGUGAAAACUCGAGGCUCAACCUCGAGAUGUCGGCGGAAACCGUCUGGCUAGAGUCCGGAAGAGGAGAGUGGAAUUCCUGGUGUAGCGGUGAAAUGCGCAGAUAUCAGGAGGAACACCGGUGGCGAAGGCGGGUCUCUGGGCCGUAACUGACGCUGAGGAGCGAAAGCGUGGGGAGCAAACAGG